RNAcentral lists this ribosomal RNA (1128 nucleotides) under Salmonella enterica. RNAcentral's name for it is "bacterial LSU rRNA". It matches the Rfam family "Bacterial large subunit ribosomal RNA", at positions 1116 to 2227 of the family's 2925-position model. Lineage: Bacteria; Pseudomonadati; Pseudomonadota; Gammaproteobacteria; Enterobacterales; Enterobacteriaceae. The record is from RNAcentral.
CCAUCAUUUAAAGAAAGCGUAAUAGCUCACUGGUCGAGUCGGCCUGCGCGGAAGAUGUAACGGGGCUAAACCAUGCACCGAAGCUGCGGCAGCGACACUAUGUGUUGUUGGGUAGGGGAGCGUUCUGUAAGCCUGCGAAGGUGGCCUGUGAGGGUUGCUGGAGGUAUCAGAAGUGCGAAUGCUGACAUAAGUAACGAUAAAGCGGGUGAAAAGCCCGCUCGCCGGAAGACCAAGGGUUCCUGUCCAACGUUAAUCGGGGCAGGGUGAGUCGACCCCUAAGGCGAGGCCGAAAGGCGUAGUCGAUGGGAAACGGGUUAAUAUUCCCGUACUUGGUGUUACUGCGAAGGGGGGACGGAGAAGGCUAUGUUGGCCGGGCGACGGUUGUCCCGGUUUAAGCGUGUAGGUGUGUGUUCCAGGUAAAUCCGGUUCACUUUAACACUGAGGCGUGACGACGAGGCACUACGGUGCUGAAGCAACAAAUGCCCUGCUUCCAGGAAAAGCCUCUAAGCAUCAGGUAACAUCAAAUCGUACCCCAAACCGACACAGGUGGUCAGGUAGAGAAUACCAAGGCGCUUGAGAGAACUCGGGUGAAGGAACUAGGCAAAAUGGUGCCGUAACUUCGGGAGAAGGCACGCUGACACGUAGGUGAAGUGAUUUACUCACGGAGCUGAAGUCAGUCGAAGAUACCAGCUGGCUGCAACUGUUUAUUAAAAACACAGCACUGUGCAAACACGAAAGUGGACGUAUACGGUGUGACGCCUGCCCGGUGCCGGAAGGUUAAUUGAUGGGGUCAGCGCAAGCGAAGCUCCUGAUCGAAGCCCCGGUAAACGGCGGCCGUAACUAUAACGGUCCUAAGGUAGCGAAAUUCCUUGUCGGGUAAGUUCCGACCUGCACGAAUGGCGUAAUGAUGGCCAGGCUGUCUCCACCCGAGACUCAGUGAAAUUGAACUCGCUGUGAAGAUGCAGUGUACCCGCGGCAAGACGGAAAGACCCCGUGAACCUUUACUAUAGCUUGACACUGAACAUUGAGCCUUGAUGUGUAGGAUAGGUGGGAGGCUUUGAAGCGUGGACGCCAGUCUGCGUGGAGCCGACCUUGAAAUACCACCCUUUAAUGUUUGAUGUUCUAACG